AACCUCCGCCAACUCAGCCGACCAACCCGCUGCUGAGCCGGCAAAGGGAAGUGACGUCUGUCUCUCCCUUUUUUCUCUCCCGCUCCCUUGUCUGUUCUCUCCCAAAGAAGCUGGUCCUUAGCUUCUAUUGCGGAGCAACCUUUCGGCGACCAGCUGGAGCCUGGGCACCCUUCUUCAAAUAAUGGCCUUUAAUUCGCAGACGAGAACGUUUAGGAUGACAAAAGAAACUUUUUUUUCACGUCCUUACCCUUGUGAUGAAGCAUUCCGCUUACAUAUAUAUAUGUAAUGUUGGGUUUCUUCAGAUAUAUAUAUAUAUAUGUAUAUGUGUAUAAAUAUCCAAAUAUCCUAAAAGACACGGCCCUUCAUGAUUCCAUGCCAUUAGACAUUUAUAGGACCAUGCAUGGUGAUCUCCUCCACACAAAAAUAAAUGCUGGUGCAGAACAGGGAGGAUCGCAGCGCAUUUCGGCCAAGACAGGUGAGACUGCGGUUUUGACCUGCGGGCCUCGAUGAAUUGCGUUAGGACACCUGGGCUCCGGGAGAGCCGUUCCACUCCGCAAAGUAAGCGUGUUAUGUCUACAACCCAACGGGGACGCGCUAAGAGCCCUAAAGGCCCUGCUUUCAUCCCAAAGAACAGCCCCCGCCUGCAUAGUUUGUACCCGGCUCUAUGAGGUGAGAACACAUUCCCCGCUAGCACAGAAAUCCUACAGACUCCUGAGGGGGCUGCAGCUAGAAGCAGAGGCUGUGUGAAAUGUGACUGGGGGCUAGGGAAAAACACGUAGAUUUUCACAGACCCUGAGAACCCAAGAGACUGCAGACCAUGGGCAGACAAAUCUCUGCAAAAAGCAGCCCCGCCUAGAUAAAGGAAGAGCUGUGCGGCCUUCGCGCUAGCUAGCUUGUGUAAAGGUCGACGAUUCUUAUUUCUCCCGGGGCGGGGAGAAAGCGACAUAUUACUACUAUUUCUCAGCCUUCGACUGUGAGAGUAACGAUUAAGACUAAAACACAAGCCAGUAAAAAAAACAAGUAACCCUUGCUGUGUAGACUAUUCUUUAAACUACAAAAAAUCAGGGGAAAGCGCGAACGCAGUCCCCCACUACCACAAAUUAUGCAGUCGAGUUUCCCACAUUUGGGGAAAUCGCAGGGGUCAGCACAUCCGGAGUGCAAUGGAUAAGCCUCGCCCUG
This is a long non-coding RNA of Homo sapiens (human), 1179 nucleotides long. RefSeq lists it as uncharacterized. The record is from RefSeq and is a predicted model, not a curated record. The transcript has 2 exons. Lineage: Eukaryota; Metazoa; Chordata; Mammalia; Primates; Hominidae.